Pelobates cultripes (western spadefoot toad) is the source of this 213-nucleotide non-coding RNA. The record is from the annotation of a GenBank genome assembly. NCBI's taxonomy places the organism in Eukaryota, Metazoa, Chordata, Amphibia, Anura, Pelobatidae.
AACUAUAGCUUAUUGAGUUUGUUCUGGUGAGUAGAAUCAUUACCUUCAGGCUUUUUGCUGUAAACACUGUAUCUUCAGAGAAAAUGCAGUGUUUACAUUACAGCCUAGUGAUAACUUCACUGGCCACUCCUUAGAAGGAUGUUAGAGAUCCUUCCUGGGUCAUGGCUGCUGUUGUGGAACCAAUCAAAUAAUUGAUAAUCUUGCGUAUCUGCC